Molecule: ribosomal RNA, 253 nt
Filed under: uncultured bacterium
Lineage: Bacteria
Description: partial 16S ribosomal RNA
Rfam family: Bacterial small subunit ribosomal RNA
Source: RNAcentral
UACGUAGGGUGCGAGCGUUAAUCGGAAUUACUGGGCGUAAAGGGCGCGUAGGCGGCGCGGUAAGUCAUUUGUGAAAUCUCUGAGCUUAACUCAGAACGGCCAAGUGAUACUGCAGUGCUAGAGUGUGGAAGGGGCAAUCGGAAUUCUUGGUGUAGCGGUGAAAUGCGUAGAUAUCAAGAGGAACACCUGAGGUGAAGACGGGUUGCUGGGCCAACACUGACGCUGAUGCGCGAAAGCCAGGGGAGCAAACGGG